Molecule: ribosomal RNA, 1343 nt
Filed under: uncultured bacterium
Lineage: Bacteria
Description: 16S ribosomal RNA
Rfam family: Bacterial small subunit ribosomal RNA
Source: RNAcentral
GACGAACGCUGGCGGCGUGCUUAACACAUGCAAGUCGAACGGAAAGGCCCUGCUUUUGUGGGGUGCUCGAGUGGCGAACGGGUGAGUAACACGUGAGUAACCUACCCUUGACUUUGGGAUAACUUCAGGAAACUGGGGCUAAUACCGGAUAGGAGCUCCUGCUGCAUGGUGGGGGUUGGAAAGUUUCGGCGGUUGGGGAUGGACUCGCGGCUUAUCAGCUUGUUGGUGGGGUAGUGGCUUACCAAGGCUUUGACGGGUAGCCGGCCUGAGAGGGUGACCGGCCACAUUGGGACUGAGAUACGGCCCAGACUCCUACGGGAGGCAGCAGUGGGGAAUAUUGCACAAUGGGCGGAAGCCUGAUGCAGCAACGCCGCGUGCGGGAUGACGGCCUUCGGGUUGUAAACCGCUUUCGCCUGUGACGAAGCGUGAGUGACGGUAAUGGGUAAAGAAGCACCGGCUAACUACGUGCCAGCAGCCGCGGUGAUACGUAGGGUGCGAGCGUUGUCCGGAUUUAUUGGGCGUAAAGGGCUCGUAGGUGGUUGAUCGCGUCGGAAGUGUAAUCUUGGGGCUUAACCCUGAGCGUGCUUUCGAUACGGGUUGACUUGAGGAAGGUAGGGGAGAAUGGAAUUCCUGGUGGAGCGGUGGAAUGCGCAGAUAUCAGGAGGAACACCAGUGGCGAAGGCGGUUCUCUGGGCCUUUCCUGACGCUGAGGAGCGAAAGCGUGGGGAGCGAACAGGCUUAGAUACCCUGGUAGUCCACGCUGUAAACGGUGGGUACUAGGUGUGGGGUCCAUUUCACGGGUUCCGUGCCGUAGCUAACGCUUUAAGUACCCCGCCUGGGGAGUACGGCCGCAAGGCUAAAACUCAAAGGAAUUGACGGGGCCCCGCACAAGCGGCGGAGCAUGCGGAUUAAUUCGAUGCAACGCGUAGAACCUUACCUGGGUUUGACAUGGAUCGGGAGUGCUCAGAGAUGGGUGUGCCUCUUUUGGGGUCGGUUCACAGGUGGUGCAUGGCUGUCGUCAGCUCGUGUCGUGAGAUGUUGGGUUAAGUCCCGCAACGAGCGCAACCCUUGUUCACUGUUGCCAGCACGUUAUGGUGGGGACUCAGUGGAGACCGCCGGGGUCAACUCGGAGGAAGGUGGGGAUGACGUCAAGUCAUCAUGCCCCUUAUGUCCAGGGCUUCACGCAUGCUACAAUGGCUGGUACAGAGAGUGGCGAGCCUGUGAGGGUGAGCGAAUCUCGGAAAGCCGGUCUCAGUUCGGAUUGGGGUCUGCAACUCGACCUCAUGAAGUCGGAGUCGCUAGUAAUCGCAGAUCAGCAACGCUGCGGUGAAUACGUUCCCGGG